GACGAACGCUGGCGGCGUGCUUAACACAUGCAAGUCGAGCGGUAAGGCCCUUUCGGGGGUACACGAGCGGCGAACGGGUGAGUAACACGUGGGUGACCUGCCCUCAGCUCUGGGAUAAGCCUGGGAAACCGGGUCUAAUACUGGAUAUGACUCCAUGACGCAUGUUGUGGGGUGGAAAGCCUUGUGCGGCUGAGGAUGGGGCCCGCGGCCUAUCAGCUUGUUGGUGGGGUGANGGCCUACCAAGGCGACGACGGGUAGCCGGCCUGAGAGGGCGACCGGGCCACACUGGGGACUGAGACACGGCCCAGACUCCUACGGGAGGCAGCAGUGGGGAAUCUUGCGCAAUGGGCGAAAGCCUGACGCAGCGACGCCGCGUGAGGGAUGACGGCCUGG
This 393-nucleotide ribosomal RNA is filed under the name uncultured bacterium. RNAcentral describes it as "bacterial SSU rRNA". It matches the Rfam family "Bacterial small subunit ribosomal RNA", at positions 28 to 419 of the family's 1533-position model. The record is from RNAcentral.